UGAAUAUUGUGACUGAUUGGUAGGCUAAAUGUGAUGUUAUAGAUGAUGAAAAUUGAGACUUGGACCUAGAACGGAAAGAAAUCGAUUUAUGGACGAGUAUGUCCUUUUCACAUUUGUGGUAUCGAGAGUUCCAGGUUAGCUCGGGUUGGAGGCCGUCAGAGAUAUUAUCACCCUAUCGAGUUAACGUUAUCGAGUAAGUAAACUCAAGUGAUUCGAGUCUAUGGCAUGUAUAGGGUUUUAAUGUGAGUAUGUAAUAUUAUGAUUUAGCCAAAGGCAUUGGCUUGUUAUUAAGGUAGUAUUAGUCAUGUAAAUUGGCCUAUGUCGGCUAAUGACGUUAUGGGCCCAUAUGAUUAUUCUUAUGCAUUUAUGUUAUUAUUUCUUGUGAUGUGGCUUACAACAUGUAUGCCUAGAGAUUGAAUUGAGAUUCAUUGAUGAGCUAGUAACUAAUGCAGGAUUAAGUGAUUGGUAAAUAGUUAAUAA
This is a long non-coding RNA of Gossypium arboreum, 480 nucleotides long. RefSeq lists it as uncharacterized. The record is from RefSeq and is a predicted model, not a curated record. The transcript has 2 exons. Lineage: Eukaryota; Viridiplantae; Streptophyta; Magnoliopsida; Malvales; Malvaceae.